Long non-coding RNA from Coregonus clupeaformis (lake whitefish), 104 nucleotides. RefSeq lists it as uncharacterized. NCBI's taxonomy places the organism in Eukaryota, Metazoa, Chordata, Actinopteri, Salmoniformes, Salmonidae. The transcript is spliced from 3 exons. The record is from RefSeq and is a predicted model, not a curated record.
GUCCAGGGGAGGGCGCUAGGUAGAAAGGGUCCUGUGGUCUCAGCUGUAAUACCAGUCCAGUCCAGGGGAGGGCGCUAGGUAGAAAGGAUCCUGUGGUCUCAGCU